GACGAACGCUGGCGGCGUGCUUAACACAUGCAAGUCGAACGGAAAGGCCCUGCUUUUGUGGGGUGCUCGAGUGGCGAACGGGUGAGUAACACGUGAGUAACCUGCCCUUGACUUUGGGAUAACUUCAGGAAACUGGGGCUAAUACCGGAUAGGAGCUCCUGCUGCAUGGUGGGGGUUGGAAAGUUUCGGCGGUUGGGGAUGGACUGGCGGCUUAUCAGCUUGUUGGUGGGGUAGUGGCUUACCAAGGCUUUGACGGGUAGCCGGCCUGAGAGGGUGACCGGCGACAUUGGGACUGAGGUACGGCCCAGACUCCUACGGGAGGCAGCAGUGGGGAAUAUUGCACAAUGGGCGGAAGCCUGAUGCAGCAACGCCGCGUGCGGGAUGACGGCCUUCGGGUUGUAAACCGCUUUCGCCUGUGACGAAGCGUGAGUGACGGUAAUGGGUAAAGAAGCACCGGCUAACUACGUG
RNAcentral lists this ribosomal RNA (468 nucleotides) under uncultured bacterium. RNAcentral describes it as "partial 16S ribosomal RNA". It matches the Rfam family "Bacterial small subunit ribosomal RNA", at positions 28 to 507 of the family's 1533-position model. The record is from RNAcentral.